RNAcentral lists this ribosomal RNA (254 nucleotides) under uncultured bacterium. RNAcentral describes it as "partial 16S ribosomal RNA". It matches the Rfam family "Bacterial small subunit ribosomal RNA", at positions 524 to 776 of the family's 1533-position model. The record is from RNAcentral.
UACGUAGGGUCCAAGCGUUGUCCGGAUUUAUUGGGCGUAAAGAGCUCGUAGGCGGUUUCGUAAGUCGGGCGUGAAAUCUCUGGGCUUAACCCAGAGCGGCCGUUCGAUACUGCGAUGACUUGAGUUUGGUAGAGGAGUGUGGAAUUCCUGGUGUAGCGGUGAAAUGCGCAGAUAUCAGGAGGAACACCAAUGGCGAAGGCAGCACUCUGGGCCAUAACUGACGCUGAGGAGCGAAAGCGUGGGUAGCGAACAGG